RNAcentral lists this ribosomal RNA (431 nucleotides) under uncultured bacterium. RNAcentral describes it as "partial 16S ribosomal RNA". It matches the Rfam family "Bacterial small subunit ribosomal RNA", at positions 338 to 795 of the family's 1533-position model. The record is from RNAcentral.
CCUACGGGAGGCAGCAGUGGGGAAUAUUGCACAAUGGGCGCAAGCCUGAUGCAGCAACGCCGCGUGAGGGAUGACGGCCUUCGGGUUGAAACCUCUUUUAGCAGGGAAGCGGUACCUGCAGAAAAAGCGCCGGCUAACUACGUGCCAGCAGCCGCGGUAAUACGUAGGGCGCAAGCGUUAUCCGGAAUUAUUGGGCGUAAAGAGCUCGUAGGCGGUUUGUCGCGUCUGCUGUGAAAUCCGGAGGCUCAACCUCCGGCCUGCAGUGGGUACGGGCAGACUAGAGUGCGGUAGGGGAGAUUGGAAUUCCUGGUGUAGCGGUGGAAUGCGUAGAUAUCAGGAGGAACACCGAUGGCGAAGGCAGAUCUCUGGGCCGUACUGACGCUGAGGAGCGAAAGGGUGGGGAGCAAACAGGCUUAGAUACCCUUGUAGUC